GUCUACGGCCAUACCACCCUGAACGCGGCCCGAUCUCGUCUGAUCUCGGAAGCUAAGCAGGGUCGGGCCCCGGUUAGUACUUGGAUGGGAGACCGCCUGGGAAUACCGGGUGCUGUAGGCU
RNAcentral lists this ribosomal RNA (121 nucleotides) under Capra hircus (goat). Lineage: Eukaryota; Metazoa; Chordata; Mammalia; Artiodactyla; Bovidae. The record is from RNAcentral.